UGCCCCAUGGCUGAGUUGGUCACAGCGUCCAACUGAUGACCAAACCCAGGCUAAAAGCACUGUUAAUUUAACAUCGGAAGUUCGAGAGUUCAAGCCUCUCUGGGGAG
RNAcentral lists this transfer RNA (107 nucleotides) under Rhodocollybia butyracea. RNAcentral describes it as "tRNA-Ile". It matches the Rfam family "tRNA". From Rfam's summary of the family: Transfer RNA (tRNA) molecules are approximately 80 nucleotides in length. Their secondary structure includes four short double-helical elements and three loops (D, anti-codon, and T loops). Further hydrogen bonds mediate the characteristic L-shaped molecular structure. tRNAs have two regions of fundamental functional importance: the anti-codon, which is responsible for specific mRNA codon recognition, and the 3' end, to which the tRNAs corresponding amino acid is attached (by aminoacyl-tRNA synthetases). tRNAs cope with the degeneracy of the genetic code in two manners: having more than one tRNA (with a specific anti-codon) for a particular amino acid; and 'wobble' base-pairing, i.e. permitting non-standard base-pairing at the 3rd anti-codon position. Lineage: Eukaryota; Fungi; Basidiomycota; Agaricomycetes; Agaricales; Omphalotaceae. The record is from RNAcentral.